CCCUUAGAUGUUCUGGGCUGCACGCGCGCUACACUGGUGCGUUCAGCGGGUUUAGCACCUUAACAGAUAUGUUUGGGUAAUCUUCUGAAAACGCACCGUGAUGGGGAUCGAUUAUUGUAAUUAUUAAUCGUCAACGAGGAAUUCCUAGUAAGUGUGAAUCAUCAGUUCGCGCUGAUUACGUCCCUGCCCUUUGUACACACCGCCCGUCGCUGCUACCGAUUGAGUGGUCCGGUGAAUUAUUCGGACCGGUGGACUGUGGGGAAACCCGCGGCCUGCUGGGAAGUCUUGUGAACCUUAUCACUUAGAGGAAGCAGAAGUCGUAACA
This 325-nucleotide ribosomal RNA is filed under the name uncultured eukaryote. RNAcentral describes it as "partial 18S ribosomal RNA". It matches the Rfam family "Eukaryotic small subunit ribosomal RNA", at positions 1470 to 1796 of the family's 1831-position model. The record is from RNAcentral.